AUUAUGACGUGCUUGCACUGAAUGAUAUUUUAACACGAAGUGAGUGGCGGACGGGUGAGUAACACGUGGGUAACCUGCCCAGAAGCAGGGGAUAACACCUGGAAACAGAUGCUACUACCGUAUAACAGAGAAAACCGCCUGGUUUUCUUUUAAAAGAUGGCUCUGCUAUCACUUCUGGAUGGACCCGCGGCGCAUUAGCUAGUUGGUGAGGUAACGGCUCACCAAGGCGAUGAUGCGUAGCCGACCUGAGAGGGUAAUCGGCCACAUUGGGACUGAGACACGGCCCAGACUCCUACGGGAGGCAGCAGUAGGGAAUCUUCCACAAUGGACGCAAGUCUGAUGGAGCAACGCCGCGUGAGUGAAGAAGGGUUUCGGCUCGUAAAGCUCUGUUGUUAAAGAAGAACGUGGGUGAGAGUAACUGUUCACCCAGUGACGGUAUUUAACCAGAAAGCCACGGCUAACUACGUGCCAGCAGCCGCGGUAAUACGUAGGUGGCAAGCGUUAUCCGGAUUUAUUGGGCGUAAAGCGAGCGCAGGCGGUCUUUUAACUCUCAUGUGAAAGCCUUCCACUCAACCAAAGAAGUGCAUUGAAAACUGGGACACUUGAGUGCAAAAGAGGACAGGGGAACCCCGUGUGUAGGGGAGAAAUUU
This 650-nucleotide ribosomal RNA is filed under the name Pediococcus acidilactici. RNAcentral's name for it is "bacterial SSU rRNA". It matches the Rfam family "Bacterial small subunit ribosomal RNA", at positions 48 to 689 of the family's 1533-position model. The record is from RNAcentral. Lineage: Bacteria; Bacillati; Bacillota; Bacilli; Lactobacillales; Lactobacillaceae.